Molecule: unclassified non-coding RNA, 352 nt
Filed under: soil metagenome
Description: partial contains 5.8S ribosomal RNA, internal transcribed spacer 2, and large subunit ribosomal RNA
Rfam family: 5.8S ribosomal RNA (bases 1-120)
Source: RNAcentral
GAUGAAGAAGCAGCGAAAUGCGAUAAGUAAUGCGAAUUGCAGAAUUUCCGUGAGUCAUCGAAUCUUUGAACGCACAUUGCGCCCGCCAGUAUUCUGGCGGGCAUGCCUGUUCGAGCGUCAUUACAACCCUCAGGCCCCCGGGCCUGGCGUUGGGGAUCGGCGGAGCCCCCCGUGGGCACACGCCGUCCCCCAAAUGCAGUGGCGGUCCCGCCGCAGCUUCCAUCGCGUAGUAGCUAACACCUCGCGACUGGAGAGCGGCGCGGCCACGCCGUAAAACACCCAACUCUUCUGAAGUUGACCUCGAAUCAGGUAGGAAUACCCGCUGAACUUAAGCAUAUCAAUAAGCGGAGGA